CAGCCGCGGUAAUACGUAGGGGGCUAGCGUUAUCCGGAUUUACUGGGCGUAAAGGGUGCGUAGGCGGUCUUUCAAGUCAGGAGUGAAAGGCUACGGCUCAACCGUAGUAAGCUCUUGAAACUGGGAGACUUGAGUGCAGGAGAGGAGAGUGGAAUUCCUAGUGUAGCGGUGAAAUGCGUAGAUAUUAGGAGGAACACCAGUUGCGAAGGCGGC
This 213-nucleotide ribosomal RNA is filed under the name Clostridioides difficile. RNAcentral describes it as "partial 16S ribosomal RNA". It matches the Rfam family "Bacterial small subunit ribosomal RNA", at positions 512 to 725 of the family's 1533-position model. Lineage: Bacteria; Bacillati; Bacillota; Clostridia; Peptostreptococcales; Peptostreptococcaceae. The record is from RNAcentral.